Molecule: long non-coding RNA, 592 nt
Organism: Medicago truncatula (barrel medic)
Lineage: Eukaryota; Viridiplantae; Streptophyta; Magnoliopsida; Fabales; Fabaceae
Exons: 2
Source: RefSeq, a predicted model, not a curated record
AAGAGAAAGAGAAUAGGAAAGGAAGAACAAUGAAAGAAGAGCCAAGAGAGAGAAAAGUCAAUCUUAACAAAAUUAUCAUCACCAAGUAUAGACGUAGUGGAACAAAGAAUGCUUCAUGGGAAUUUUAAGAGUUCUUGGUGCAAAGGUAAGGGCAUCAUUCCAUGCGCUUCCGUAUGUGUAUGUGUGAAUAUUUGUGUUGUGAUGGUUACCAUAGUGUUGUUGUUUUGAAGUGAAUGCUAUGUGCUAUAUAUUGGUGAUGUGAUAAUUACCUUGGUGUUGUUGUUUUGGCAUGAAUAUUAUGUUAUUAUUUAUGUGGUGUUGUUUUAAUGUAAAUACUAUUUGUUUAUGGGUGAAUAAACUUAAGUAACUAAAAUGGUGAUUCAAAACUAUAUCCAAAGGUGGGAUAUUAGACUUUUGAUUUUUGGAGAUUACCCAACGGUGGGGUAUUUACGGAGACAUUCAUGCAUUAGAUGACUCAGACAAAUGCCCAAUGGUGGGGUACUGACCAUCGAGUUUUAGGAGUUACUACCCAACGGUGGGGUAGUGGCGAUUCAUAUGCAUUAGGUGAUUCAGAAUAAUGCCCAAUGGUGGG